Molecule: ribosomal RNA, 505 nt
Filed under: uncultured bacterium
Lineage: Bacteria
Description: partial 16S ribosomal RNA
Rfam family: Bacterial small subunit ribosomal RNA
Source: RNAcentral
GACGAACGCUGGCGGCGUGCCUAAUACAUGCAAGUAGAACGCACAGUUUAUACCGUAGCUUGCUACACCAUAAACUGUGAGUUGCGAACGGGUGAGUAACGCGUAGGUAACCUGCCUGGUAGCGGGGGAUAACUAUUGGAAACGAUAGCUAAUACCGCAUAAUAUUGAUUAUUGCAUGAUAAUUGAGUGUAAGAUGCUAUUGCAUCACUACCAGAUGGACCUGCGUUGUAUUAGCUAGUAGGUGAGGUAACGGCUCACCUAGGCGACGAUACAUAGCCGACCUGGGAAGGUGAUCGGCCACACUGGGAAUGAGACACGGGCCAGGCUUCUUCGGGAGGGCGCAGGAAGGAAACUUCCGGCAAGGACGGAAGUCUGAACGAGCAACGGCGGGUGGGUGGAGAAGGGUUUCGGAACGUAAAGAUCCGUUGAAUAGGAAGAACGAGUGGGGGAGUGAAAAGUUCACGUUGUGACGGUACCUAACCAGAAAGGCACGGCUAACUACGUG